UACGGAGGGUGCGAGCGUUGUCCGGAAUCACUGGGCGUAAAGGGCGCGUAGGCGGCGCGAGGAGUCGGGGGUGAAAGCCCUGGGCUCAACCUGGGAAUGGCAUUGGAAACUGGCGAUCUAGAGUGCGGUAGAGGGCAGUGGAAUUCCCGGUGUAGCAGUGAAAUGCGUAGAGAUCGGGAGGAACAUCUGUGGCGAAGGCGACUGCCUGGACCAGCACUGACGCUGAGGCACGAAAGCGUGGGGAGCAAACAGG
RNAcentral lists this ribosomal RNA (253 nucleotides) under uncultured bacterium. RNAcentral's name for it is "partial 16S ribosomal RNA". It matches the Rfam family "Bacterial small subunit ribosomal RNA", at positions 524 to 776 of the family's 1533-position model. The record is from RNAcentral.